RNAcentral lists this microRNA precursor (98 nucleotides) under Dipodomys ordii (Ord's kangaroo rat). RNAcentral describes it as "miRNA (ENSDORG00000025680.1)". The record is from RNAcentral. Lineage: Eukaryota; Metazoa; Chordata; Mammalia; Rodentia; Heteromyidae.
CUGGCUUGUCAGCAGCAGCUUCGCUUUGGCUCCGACGUUUGUCUUCGGAGUUUGAAGCCUUUGCCGCCAGAAGGUGGGUUGGCGUCAGUGGACGGAAU